UACGUAGGGUGCAAGCGUUGUCCGGAAUUAUUGGGCGUAAAGGGCGCGUAGGCGGUCAGCACAAGUCAGUUGUGAAAUCUCCGAGCUUAACUCGGAAAGGUCAACUGAUACUGUGCGACUAGAGUGCGGAAGGGGCAACUGGAAUUCUUGGUGUAGCGGUGAAAUGCGUAGAUAUCAAGAGGAACACCUGCGGCGAAGGCGGGUUGCUGGGCCGACACUGACGCUGAGGCGCGAAAGCUAGGGGAGCGAACGGG
RNAcentral lists this ribosomal RNA (254 nucleotides) under uncultured bacterium. RNAcentral describes it as "partial 16S ribosomal RNA". It matches the Rfam family "Bacterial small subunit ribosomal RNA", at positions 524 to 776 of the family's 1533-position model. The record is from RNAcentral.